GAUGAACGCUGGCGGCGUGCCUAAUACAUGCAAGUCGAGCGAACGGACGAGAAGCUUGCUUCUCUGAUGUUAGCGGCGGACGGGUGAGUAACACGUGGAUAACCUACCUAUAAGACUGGGAUAACUUCGGGAAACCGGAGCUAAUACCGGAUAAUAUUUUGAACCGCAUGGUUCAAAAGUGAAAGACGGUCUUGCUGUCACUUAUAGAUGGAUCCGCGCUGCAUUAGCUAGUUGGUAAGGUAACGGCUUACCAAGGCAACGAUGCAUAGCCGACCUGAGAGGGUGAUCGGCCACACUGGAACUGAGACACGGUCCAGACUCCUACGGGAGGCAGCAGUAGGGAAUCUUCCGCAAUGGGCGAAAGCCUGACGGAGCAACGCCGCGUGAGUGAUGAAGGUCUUCGGAUCGUAAAACUCUGUUAUUAGGGAAGAACAUAUGUGUAAGUAACUGUGCACAUCUUGACGGUACCUAAUCAGAAAGCCACGGCUAACUACGUGCCAGCAGCCGCGGUAAUACGUAGGUGGCAAGCGUUAUCCGGAAUUAUUGGGCGUAAAGCGCGCGUAGGCGGUUUUUUAAGUCUGAUGUGAAAGCCCACGGCUCAACCGUGGAGGGUCAUUGGAAACUGGAAAACUUGAGUGCAGAAGAGGAAAGUGGAAUUCCAUGUGUAGCGGUGAAAUGCGCAGAGAUAUGGAGGGACACCAGUGGCGAAGGCGACUUUCUGGUCUGUAACUGACGCUGAUGUGCGAAAGCGUGGGAAUCAAACAGGAUUAGAUACCCUGGUAGUCCACGCCGUAAACGAUGAGUGCUAAGUGUUAGGGGGUUUCCGCCCCUUAGUGCUGCAGCUAACGCAUUAAGCACUCCGCCUGGGGAGUACGACCGCAAGGUUGAAACUCAAAGGAAUUGACGGGGACCCGCACAAGCGGUGGAGCAUGUGGUUUAAUUCGAAGCAACGCGAAGAACCUUACCAAAUCUUGACAUCCUUUGACAACUCUAGAGAUAGAGCUUUCCCCUUCGGGGGACAAAGUGACAGGUGGUGCAUGGUUGUCGUCAGCUCGUGUCGUGAGAUGUUGGGUUAAGUCCCGCAACGAGCGCAACCCUUAAGCUUAGUUGCCAUCAUUAAGUUGGGCACUCUAAGUUGACUGCCGGUGACAAACCGGAGGAAGGUGGGGAUGACGUCAAAUCAUCAUGCCCCUUAUGAUUUGGGCUACACACGUGCUACAAUGGACAAUACAAAGGGCAGCGAAACCGCGAGGUCAAGCAAAUCCCAUAAAGUUGUUCUCAGUUCGGAUUGUAGUCUGCAACUCGACUACAUGAAGCUGGAAUCGCUAGUAAUCGUAGAUCAGCAUGCUACGGUGAAUACGUUCCCGGGUCU
This 1372-nucleotide ribosomal RNA is filed under the name uncultured bacterium. Its description in RNAcentral is "bacterial SSU rRNA". It matches the Rfam family "Bacterial small subunit ribosomal RNA", at positions 28 to 1381 of the family's 1533-position model. The record is from RNAcentral.